UCUCCGUUGGUGAACCAGCGGAGGGAUCAUUACAGAGUUGCAAAACUCCCAAACCAUUGUGAACGUUACCUAUCCCGUUGCUUCGGCGGGCGGCCCGGGCCCCGCGCCCGGCGCCCCCCGGCCCCCCGUGGGCGCCCGCCGGAGGUAAACCAAACCCUUGAAAUGCAUGGCCUCUCUGAGUCUUCUGUACUGAAUAAGUCAAAACUUUCAACAACGGAUCUCUUGGUUCUG
RNAcentral lists this unclassified non-coding RNA (231 nucleotides) under plant metagenome. RNAcentral's name for it is "partial contains small subunit ribosomal RNA, internal transcribed spacer 1, and 5.8S ribosomal RNA". The record is from RNAcentral.